Molecule: ribosomal RNA, 253 nt
Filed under: uncultured bacterium
Lineage: Bacteria
Description: partial 16S ribosomal RNA
Rfam family: Bacterial small subunit ribosomal RNA
Source: RNAcentral
UACAGAGGGUGCGAGCGUUAAUCGGAAUUACUGGGCGUAAAGGGUGCGUAGGUGGUUUUGUAAGUAACAUGUGAAAGUCCUGAGCUCAACUUGGGGAUUGCGUGUUAAACUGCAGAGCUAGAGUGUUGUAGAGGAUAGCGGAAUUUCCGGUGUAGCGGUGAAAUGCGUAGAUAUCUGGAGGAAUACCGGUGGCGAAGGCGGCAUCCUGGACCGGCAUUGACGCUGAGGAGCGAAAGCGAGGGGAGCAAACGGG